Molecule: ribosomal RNA, 563 nt
Filed under: uncultured bacterium
Lineage: Bacteria
Description: bacterial SSU rRNA
Rfam family: Bacterial small subunit ribosomal RNA
Source: RNAcentral
GCGGCAGACGGGUGAGUAACGCGUGGGAACCUACCCUUUCCUACGGAAUAACACAGAGAAAUUUGUGCUAAUACCGUAUACGCCCUUCGGGGGAAAGAUUUAUCGGGGAAGGAUGGGCCCGCGUCGGAUUAGCUAGUUGGUGGGGUAAUGGCCCACCAAGGCGACGAUCCGUAGCUGGUCUGAGAGGAUGACCAGCCACAUUGGGACUGAGACACGGCCCAAACUCCUACGGGAGGCAGCAGUGGGGAAUAUUGGACAAUGGGCGCAAGCCUGAUCCAGCCAUGCCGCGUGAGUGAAGAAGGCCUUCGGGUCGUAAAACUCUGUCCUAUGGGAAGAAACAAAUGACGGUACCAUGGGAGGAAGCCCCGGCUAACUACGUGCCAGCAGCCGCGGUAAUACGUAGGGGGCAAGCGUUAUCCGGAAUCACUGGGCGUAAAGGGUGCGUAGGUGGCUUAUCAAGCCAGGGGUGAAAGGCAUUGGCUCAACCAAUGUAAGCCUUUGGAACUGAUAGGCUUGAGUGCAGGAGAGGUAAGUGGAAUUCCUAGUGUAGAGGUGAAAUUCGU